GUCUGGUGCUCUGCAUUGGUAAUGUAGAAAGCAAGUUCCAAAUUCUCAUUACCUUCAGGAACAGCCUUAAAUACAACAGAGCUACCACCACCACGGCCACCUCUUCUUCCUCCUCUUCCUCCUCCUCUUGUAUUCUCAUAUCCUUUGAAGGCAAUCUUAAGCAUCCAUUUUCCCAGCCUGUUCACUCUGUGCCUCUGGAUUUGCUAUCUAUAGAAGCCACACUUUCAUUUUUACACAUGUCCUUGUUUUCUCCUGGGAUGGAUGUAUAUAAAGUGAUGUUUCAGACAGAGGAAAUGCAUUUCCCCAUGUGAUGAUGAGUCCAAGGAGGAGGCUUCCAUAGUCCUAAUUCCCUAGGACUCCAUUAUGUAUCCAGGAUUUCCCAUAGUACAUGGUUCAACUAUAUCA
Molecule: long non-coding RNA, 405 nt
Filed under: Rattus norvegicus (Norway rat)
Lineage: Eukaryota; Metazoa; Chordata; Mammalia; Rodentia; Muridae
Description: long non-coding RNA NONRATT015058
Source: RNAcentral